UGUCAGUCUGUUGAUAACAGUCGAUGGUUUGAACACAAUUCUCUUUGCAUGUGGUUAUAAUGGCUAAUACUUUAAUUUAAUGAUACAAGGACUGACUUUAUUUCGCAAAUUGAUACAAAACAAAUGUAUAAACAUCCAAAAAUGAACAUUUUCCAAAAACUGCUUGUUAAAAUGUUCAUGUAAAACAGUGAGCCUUGAAAAUAGCAAGAAAUAUCCAUCAUUAAAUCUUUAUUCUUUGAGGUAGACUGGGCCGACUGAACUUUGGAGGGAGUAUCAGCAUGAGACAAAAACAGCACUCCAGGUGCAUCGCAGCUGUUACUGAAGAGACAGAGGAGGACAGACCAGAGAUAAUGACAGCAGCAGAAACAACAUGAGCCCAUGGAGAAAUAAAAAAAAGAGACAGUGUCA
Long non-coding RNA from Notolabrus celidotus (New Zealand spotty), 408 nucleotides. RefSeq lists it as uncharacterized. The record is from RefSeq and is a predicted model, not a curated record. NCBI's taxonomy places the organism in Eukaryota, Metazoa, Chordata, Actinopteri, Labriformes, Labridae. The transcript has 2 exons.